CGGCACGCCUAACACAUGCAAGUCGAACGAAGUAGCAAUACUUAGUGGCAGACGGGUGAGUAACAUGUAGGUAUCUGCCCUUUGGCCUGGAAUAACACGAGGAAACUUGUGCUAAUACCGAAUAAGCCUUUACAGGGAAAGUUUUAACGCCGAAAGAUGAGCCCGCACUUGAUUAGCUAGUUGGUAAGGUAAAAGCUUACCAAGGCAACGAUCAAUAGCUGUUCUUAGAGGAAGACCAGCCACAUUGGGACUGAGACACGGCCCAGACUCCUACGGGAGGCAGCAGUGGGGAAUCUUGCACAAUGGGGGAAACCCUGAUGCAGCGAUGCCGCGUGAGUGAAGAAGGCCCUUGGGUUGUAAAACUCUUUCGUCGGGGAAGAAAAUGACUGUACCCGAAUAAGAAGGUCCGGCUAACUUCGUGCC
RNAcentral lists this ribosomal RNA (423 nucleotides) under uncultured bacterium. RNAcentral's name for it is "bacterial SSU rRNA". It matches the Rfam family "Bacterial small subunit ribosomal RNA", at positions 40 to 509 of the family's 1533-position model. The record is from RNAcentral.